CAAAAAACAUUUUUUUCGUGAUUCGAUAAUCGGAUAAUCGAUAAUCGGAUUAUAGAGUUUGGACUGUAUAGAUUUGUAUGGAAAAAUAUGACGCAUUUGAAAAUCUUUGGUGAUAGAGAAAGUACACACAAUUGCUCCGCCAAAACAAAAAUCCCUUUUGUCACCUUUACUGACGGUUCUCACAAAGUUUACACAAAAUAAAUCAAAUCAGUUGUGUUUCUGCAGCCCAUGCACGAGAUGCAUGCAAACAUACUCGAAAGGCAAGAGAUCGAUUACAGUUAUUUUCUUAAAUUGGCUCUAAUUUGAUACCUUCUUGCUCGUGGUGUUUACGGUAAGGAAGCUGUCGCGAAAAACAAAUUCAAUUUGCACGAUUGAGGCUAACAAGGAAAACUGACGGAUCGCGAAUGUUGGCUGUUUCAAAAUGGUUGAACAAGUUUAUUAAAUGCUUCAAAAACA
Culex quinquefasciatus (southern house mosquito) is the source of this 456-nucleotide long non-coding RNA. RefSeq lists it as uncharacterized. Lineage: Eukaryota; Metazoa; Arthropoda; Insecta; Diptera; Culicidae. The record is from RefSeq and is a predicted model, not a curated record. The transcript is spliced from 2 exons.